ACAGCAAGUGCAAUGGACUAAACAGCAAUGGCCUAAAUAACAAUGGUCUAAACAGCAAUGGCCUAAACAGCAAUGGUCUAAACAGCAAUGGCCUAAACAGCAAUGGCCUAAACAGACUGCAUUUAAAGUAUCAAUGUAUUCAUAUCGCUGAGGGAGAAAAAAAGGCAGCAGCAGCAAAAACAGGAAAUGCUGUUAAACAGAAAGUUCAUACCAAAUACGUCAGAAAGCCCCAGAACCGCAUACGCUUUAUUUCAAGAACUGCCAUCUCUAAGUUUAGCCUGAGCAACAAUUGGUUUACUGUCUACAGGCUUGGCUCUCACAAGUUGUGCGAUGAUUAUCCUACUAAUUAUUCUUGUUGUAAUUACUGCGACUGAGGAGCAUUCCACAGUUACAGCUAGAGAUCCGGUAUAUCCUGCACGCGUUUUUGGACAUUCUCAUGUUAAAGUGGGGGAAUGUUUUGAGCUGAAGUGCAGCACAUUUGGAACGAAGAAUGAAGGGGAAAAACGCUUUGUUUACCUCUGCAAGAAUGGAGUCGCCAUAGAGAUGUCCCAGACCAAAAGUCAAGACUCCUCUUUCCUAAUGAAAAGUGCCACUAAGGAACAUACAGGAAACUACAGUUGUCUGUCCUCCAGAACAGAACAGAAUGUCAGUGAGGUGAAAGGAGAUGGAGAGAAUUCCAUCUUCAUCCAAGUGAUUGAUAGAGUAUACCCAGCAGUGAUAGCUGGUGAAACAUCUGUGAGAUCAGGGACAGAUGUGGAUUUCAACUGCACCUCAGAAGAUGCCCCAGACACAGGCCUCCUUUUGGCAUUCCUCUGGAGGAAUCAAACCAUCGUUGACAUUGAAAUGUGGAAUUCUCAGCAGAAACAGGCUAGUUUCCAUCUAAUAGGAGUCCAGGAGAGAGACUCGGGCAACUAUAGCUGUGUGGUAUCAGAGCGACCGCUUGCUGCAACAGAGUUGGACAUGUGUGGAGGGAAUUCAGUCUUCCUGCAGGUUUACGGUAAGAAUUGCAAAAAUAUUAACACCAUGCCUCAAACUAAAGUUAGACAGUAGGCUGUGUGGGACAUGUGUUGUAGUGUUUAUUAUGAGAAGGCUAAUAUGUGAGUACAUGCAGAGUAUACAAUUCUUAC
Clupea harengus (Atlantic herring) is the source of this 1127-nucleotide long non-coding RNA. The record is from Ensembl. Lineage: Eukaryota; Metazoa; Chordata; Actinopteri; Clupeiformes; Clupeidae.